AUUAGAUGGCCUAUAUAUAGUAAUUACUAGAUGUGUGCAGACCAGUAACAGAUCCUCUAAGUGAUGGAUUCAUUGUACUGGGCAGCACAGAUGCUUUCCAAUUCACUUACUUGUUUAACCAAAAUUUACUGUGCGCCUACGAUAUCCUAACACUGUGUUCAGCAUGAAAGCCUUAAAGGCCAAAAAGCCUGAAGGGGAAGCAAAGAGCCUUAAAAAAUCUACACAACCAACACUAAGAAGCAUGGGCUGUGAGGAAGGAUCCACGGAGGUUGGAUGAGAGCAGAAAGCAGAAGCUCUGCAGGAAGUGAGGAAGACUGCAGAAAAGACUUGAGAUGAAUAGGAAUGUGCUGGAGGGCUGGGGAAGUAUCUUGCAAAGAGACGGGCUAUUACAAAGCCCGCUGUAUUUUUAGUAGAGACGGGGUUUCACCGUGCUGGCCAGGCUGGUCUCGCUCUCUUGACCUCGUGAUCUGCCCGCCUCAGCCUCCCAAAGUGCUAGGAUUACAGGCAUGAGCCACCUCACCCAGCCCAGCUACUCGGGAGGAUGAAGCAGGAGAAUUGCUUGAACUCGGCAGGUGGAGGUUGCAGUGAGCCAAGAUUGUACCACAGCACUCCAGCCUGGGCGACAGAGCGAGACUCUGUCUCAAAAAACAUGCAAACAAACAAGCAAACAAACAAAAAACAAAGCCUGCUGGUUCUCAGGGAACACGGACCACUCAAGGUAUGGGAACAGAGUGGAGUUCAGGCAGAAGCAGGUGCAGUGAGAAGCAGAUGCAAUCGUAAGUGUCAUGCUAGCAUUCAACUGGGCCUGAGAGAUGGAGAGAUUUUUAAGCAGAAGAGAGACCUGGUUAGAUCGGUGUUUUGGAAAGCUCGCCAUGAAAGCUCCAUGCAAGAAGGACCAGAGAGUGGAGGCCGAAGCAGAAGAUGGGAUAAAAAACAACCCCAAAGGGUGUGCAGACUCCAGCUCUCACUGCUCUGGGAGUUUUCAUUGGCACAAGACAGAGAACAGCUGAGCCUGCAGCUUCUAUUGUCACAACUCUUUGACCAGCAGAACCGGAGAAAACUAUACCUGACAGGACUCCUUCCAAAAGAUUCAGCAUCAAUUUCACCCCAGCAUUUUCCCCAGACUACAGAACCAAGUAUUCCUGCUGCAUCUUUACCGUUACACCUAAAGAUACUGUAUGUCUCUGCAAGUCUUCCGGGAAGCCUGGAGCACAGUGAGUUGACUUUUCUCCUAAUCCUGGAGAGAAGAGAAUUUCUGAAUAGAAACCAGUGACCU
Molecule: long non-coding RNA, 1276 nt
Filed under: Callithrix jacchus (white-tufted-ear marmoset)
Lineage: Eukaryota; Metazoa; Chordata; Mammalia; Primates; Cebidae
Description: lncRNA (ENSCJAG00000081178.1)
Source: RNAcentral